GACUGCUGGAGUGUGCUCAGCCUGGGCUGGGGCAGAUCAGAAGCAUGGAGAGCUAGUGCCCUGAGGGUAGACCCCAAAUGAAGACUGAUGGGGCUGGUGAAGCAAGACCUCAGUUCCUCACUUCUCAGGUGAGUCGGCUAUGUCUCCUGAUCUUGGAGAAGUGGCCUUAUGUAUGAGAUGCCUGAUGAGGCCCAGCAGUGUGCUUCCCUCUCGUCACCAGACCAUAAGAACCAGGAGUGACCCCUUUGUGGGCUACUUGUGUUCCUCUGCUGUGGCAGGGUUGCUCCCACUGCAGGGAUUAAAACACUUAUCUCACAACAUCUUUGGGAGGAUCAAAUGAAAUAAUAAAUGUGAAAGUGCUUUGUCAACCAAAGACUGCUAUAAAAAUAAAUGUAGACCGAGGUUGAGGCUAUCGUUGCAGAAUUGUAAUCUCUGCACUUGAAAUUGAUGUGGAUAUGCAAGCAAAUGAAAGGAAAAUGAAAGAUUUUUUCCCCUGGAAGAGACCCCUCUUCGCCCAUCACUACAUGUCAGACUGAAGAAACAAGGAUGCUGAAUCCCCAGCUUAAUGCCAUCCCCUCUCGAACUAGGAACUCAUUUGUUCAAACUAAGAUUUCAAGAUGAAACUCCAAUCAGCAGUCCCCGUGAAAGUAUCAUUUCAAUCCAAAGAUUUUUUGAAGGAUGGACUGAUUAAAUAAUGAGUUUAGAAAUAUAAAUAAAGAAGUAGGACAGCAAAGUAAAAAAAUAAUCCCCUGGGAUUUAGAAUUGAUACAUUUAGGGCCUAAAAAUAAGAAAAAAAAAAUUA
RNAcentral lists this long non-coding RNA (802 nucleotides) under Equus caballus (horse). RNAcentral's name for it is "lncRNA (ENSECAG00000046138.1)". The record is from RNAcentral. Lineage: Eukaryota; Metazoa; Chordata; Mammalia; Perissodactyla; Equidae.